This 188-nucleotide non-coding RNA is filed under the name marine eukaryotic metagenome. The record is from RNAcentral.
GGGGCCCCGAGUCAUGGGUCGCUGUCCGCGAGGGCCGCGGCUAAGCGUUGACAGGGGAACGUGCAGGCACCGUAUUGAGCUCCGAGAACAAUCCCUUGGGAGUGCCGACCUUGUUGGGUGAAGGGGAAGGCAACACGGCGGCUGGCGUUAGCCGCGAGUCAGUCGUCGGCUCCCCGGAGUCAUAGACC